GAGUUUGAUUCUGGCUCAGGAUAAACGCUGGCGGCGCACAUAAGACAUGCAAGUCGAACGGACUGAUUUGAGAACUUGUUCUUAAUGAAGUUAGUGGCGGACUGGUGAGUAACACGUAAGCAACCUACCUAUCAGAGGGGAAUAACAGUGAGAAAUCACUGCUAAUACCGCAUACCUUGAUUAUAACACACGUUAAAAACAAGAAAGAAGCAAUUCGCUGAUAGAUGGGCUUGCGUCUGAUUAGCUAGUUGGUAGGGUAAUGGCCUACCAAGGCGACGAUCAGUAGCCGGACUGAGAGGUUGAACGGCCACAUUGGGACUGAGAUACGGCCCAGACUCCUACGGGAGGCAGCAGUCGGGAAUAUUGCGCAAUGGAGGAAACUCUGACGCAGUGACGCCGCGUGCAGGAAGAAGGUUUUCGGAUUGUAAACUGCUUUUAACAGGAAAGAAACAAA
This 454-nucleotide ribosomal RNA is filed under the name Clostridiales bacterium canine oral taxon 259. Its description in RNAcentral is "bacterial SSU rRNA". It matches the Rfam family "Bacterial small subunit ribosomal RNA", at positions 9 to 454 of the family's 1533-position model. Lineage: Bacteria; Bacillati; Bacillota; Clostridia; Eubacteriales. The record is from RNAcentral.